GUAAUUUCUUAAGAGACAAUAGGAUAUUGAUAUGCCUCCAAAAGGAAAAUUUUCAACAUGUGCAUAUUACCAGUAAUGGCAUAUAGCUAUGAAACAUUGACCCUUACAAAAAAAAAUAGAACAGAAACUAGUUACAUCCUAAAGAAACAUAGAAAGAUAUAUAAGAUACAUGUUAGAAUUCACCGGAAAGGACUCAAAACCAACACAUGGAUAGGAGAACAAACCAAAAUAGCAGACAUACUGGUAGCAGUUAGAAGAAGUAAGUGGCAUUGAGCAGGCCACAUUGUGAGAUACACCAAUAACCAAUGGGCAAAAAAUUACAGAAUGGCAAUCAAAGCAAGGGAAAAGACAUCCUAACAGCAAUACAAAUGAUGGAGAGAUGAUAUAAAAAAAG
Molecule: long non-coding RNA, 394 nt
Filed under: Androctonus crassicauda
Lineage: Eukaryota; Metazoa; Arthropoda; Arachnida; Scorpiones; Buthidae
Source: RNAcentral